Molecule: ribosomal RNA, 690 nt
Filed under: uncultured Acidobacteriota bacterium
Lineage: Bacteria; Pseudomonadati; Acidobacteriota
Description: bacterial SSU rRNA
Rfam family: Bacterial small subunit ribosomal RNA
Source: RNAcentral
GAUCCUGGCUCAGAAUCAACGCUGGCGGCGUGCCUCAGACAUGCAAGUCGAACGAUUAAAGCCCUCUUCGGAGGGUGUAUAGAGUGGCGCACGGGUGAGUAACACGUAAGUAAUCUACCCUCGAGUGGGGAAUAACAGUCGGAAACGACUGCUAAUACCGCAUAAUGCAGCGGCACCGCAAGGUGACAGUUGUUAAAGAUUUAUUGCUUGAGGAGGAGCUUGCGGCAGAUUAGCUAGUUGGUAAGGUAAUGGCUUACCAAGGCAACGAUCUGUAGCCGGUCUAAGAGGACGGUCGGUCACACUGACACUGAAUAACGGGUCAGACUCCUACGGGAGGCAGCAGUCGGGAAUUUUGGGCAAUGGGCGAAAGCCUGACCCAGCAACGCCGCGUGAAGGAUGAAGUAUUUCGGUAUGUAAACUUCGAAAGAAUAGGAAGAAUAAAUGACGGUACUAUUUAUAAGGUCCGGCUAACUACGUGCCAGCAGCCGCGGUAAUACGUAGGGACCAAGCGUUGUUCGGAUUUACUGGGCGUAAAGGGCGCGUAGGCGGCAUGACAAGUCACUUGUGAAAUCUCCGGGCUUAACUCGGAACGGCCAAGUGAUACUGUCGCGCUAGAGUGCAGAAGGGGCAAUCGGAAUUCUUGGUGUAGCGGUGAAAUGCGUAGAUAUCAAGAGGAACACCUGAGGUGAA